GUGUUCACUGUGAAAGCCUUGGUGUAAUUAAAACUAUUAAGGCACGCGGUGAAUGCCA
RNAcentral lists this microRNA precursor (58 nucleotides) under Lottia gigantea (owl limpet). Its description in RNAcentral is "Lgi-Mir-124-P12_pre stem-loop". It matches the Rfam family "mir-124 microRNA precursor family", at positions 13 to 70 of the family's 72-position model. From Rfam's summary of the family: The mature ~21nt miRNAs are processed from hairpin precursor sequences represented here, in this case originating from the 3' arm. The bounds of the precursors are predicted based on conservation and base pairing and are not generally known. Lineage: Eukaryota; Metazoa; Mollusca; Gastropoda; Lottiidae. The record is from RNAcentral.